UCGGGAAUUUUGGGCAAUGGGCGAAAGCCUGACCCAGCAACGCCGCGUGAAGGAUGAAGUAUUUCGGUAUGUAAACUUCGUAAAAAUAGGAAGAAUAAAUGACGGUACUAUUUGUAAGGUCCGGCUAACUACGUGCCAGCAGCCGCGGUAAUACGUAGGGACCAAGCGUUGUUCGGAUUUACUGGGCGUAAAGGGCGCGUAGGCGGCGUGACAAGUCACUUGUGAAAUCUCCGGGCUUAACUCGGAACGGUCAAGUGAUACUGUCGUGCUAGAGUGCAGAAGGGGCAAUCGGAAUUCUUGGUGUAGCGGUGAAAUGCGUAGAUAUCAAGAGGAACACCUGAGGUGAAGACGGGUUGCUGGGCUGACACUGACGCUGAGGCGCGAAAGCCAGGGGAGCAAACGGGAUUAGAUACCCCUGUAGUCCCUGAGCGGGCUGGCAAGGCGCAU
Molecule: ribosomal RNA, 447 nt
Filed under: uncultured bacterium
Lineage: Bacteria
Description: bacterial SSU rRNA
Rfam family: Bacterial small subunit ribosomal RNA
Source: RNAcentral